RNAcentral lists this unclassified non-coding RNA (222 nucleotides) under plant metagenome. Its description in RNAcentral is "partial contains small subunit ribosomal RNA and internal transcribed spacer 1". The stretch from base 1 to 46 matches the Rfam family "Eukaryotic small subunit ribosomal RNA", at positions 1786 to 1831 of the family's 1831-position model. The record is from RNAcentral.
AAGUCGUAACAAGGUUUCCGUAGGUGAACCUGCGGAAGGAUCAUUAGCGAGGUUUUCUCUCCGGCUCGCUGGAGACCCUCCACCCUUUGUGUAUUGACCUGUUGCUUCGGCGGGACGUCUGCUCUCGAGCGGCCGUCGGCUAACGCGGGCGUGCUCCCGCCGAAGGCUUUUUGACUCUUGUCUAUUCUGUCGUCUGAAUCUUCAAAAUAAAACAAAAUAAAA